AUUGAACGCUGGCGGCAUGCUUUACACAUGCAAGUCGAACGGCAGCACGGGCUUCGGCCUGGUGGCGAGUGGCGAACGGGUGAGUAAUAUAUCGGAACGUACCCAGAAGUGGGGGAUAACGUAGCGAAAGUUACGCUAAUACCGCAUACGAUCUAUGGAUGAUAGCAGGGGACCGCAAGGCCUUGUGCUCCUGGAGCGGCCGAUAUCUGAUUAGCUAGUUGGUGAGGUAAAGGCUCACCAAGGCGACGAUCAGUAGCUGGUCUGAGAGGACGACCAGCCACACUGGAACUGAGACACGGUCCAGACUCCUACGGGAGGCAGCAGUGGGGAAUUUUGGACAAUGGGCGCAAGCCUGAUCCAGCAAUGCCGCGUGAGUGAAGAAGGCCUUCGGGUUGUAAAGCUAUUUUGCCAGGGAAGAAACGGUAGAGGCUAAUAUCCUUUGCUAAUGACGGUACCUGAAGAAUAAGCACCGGCUAACUACGU
This 483-nucleotide ribosomal RNA is filed under the name uncultured bacterium. RNAcentral describes it as "partial 16S ribosomal RNA". It matches the Rfam family "Bacterial small subunit ribosomal RNA", at positions 30 to 506 of the family's 1533-position model. The record is from RNAcentral.